RNAcentral lists this ribosomal RNA (253 nucleotides) under uncultured bacterium. RNAcentral's name for it is "partial 16S ribosomal RNA". It matches the Rfam family "Bacterial small subunit ribosomal RNA", at positions 524 to 776 of the family's 1533-position model. The record is from RNAcentral.
UACGGGGGGAGCAAGCGUUGUUCGGAUUUACUGGGCGUAAAGGGCGCGUAGGCGGCGUGACAAGUCACUUGUGAAAUCUCCGGGCUUAACUCGGAAAGGUCAACUGAUACUGUGCGACUAGAGUGCGGAAGGGGCAACUGGAAUUCUUGGUGUAGCGGUGAAAUGCGUAGAUAUCAAGAGGAACACCUGCGGCGAAGGCGGGUUGCUGGGCCGACACUGACGCUGAGGCGCGAAAGCUAGGGGAGCGAACGGG